CAGCACCUCAAGUGGUCAGGAUGAUUAUUGGGCCUAAAGCAUCCGUAGCCGGCGCUGUAAGUUUUCGGUUAAAUCUGUACGCUCAACGUACAGGCUGCCGGGAAUACUGCAGCGCUAGGGAGUGGGAGAGGUAGACGGUACUCGGUAGGAAGGGGUAAAAUCCUUUGAUCUAUUGAUGACCACCUGUGACGAAGGCGGUCUACCAGAACACGUCCGACGGUGAGGGAUGAAAGCUGGGGGAGCAAACCGGAUUAGAUACCCGAGUAGUCC
RNAcentral lists this ribosomal RNA (270 nucleotides) under uncultured archaeon. RNAcentral's name for it is "partial 16S ribosomal RNA". It matches the Rfam family "Archaeal small subunit ribosomal RNA", at positions 477 to 747 of the family's 1478-position model. The record is from RNAcentral.